Molecule: long non-coding RNA, 1445 nt
Filed under: Pan troglodytes (chimpanzee)
Lineage: Eukaryota; Metazoa; Chordata; Mammalia; Primates; Hominidae
Description: long non-coding RNA NONPTRT016576
Source: RNAcentral
UUUUUUGAGGGCAGUACAAGUAGAGGAAAGUGGAGAAGCGGAUUGCAGUUUGAUUCUUAGGGGCCAAGAAUGCCACCGGGGGAUUUAGACUUCAACCUAAUCACACGUAUUUAUUUCUUCAAAUGCUAGCGAGCCUUUGAACGUUUUUGAGCACAUGCUUUGGAAAAAUUCCUCUGAAAAAGAGAGAAAGUGAGGGAGGGGAGGGCAGGGUCUGAGAGUUGAGGAGUCUGCAGCAGGAGGUUGGGAGACACAGUACGGAGCUAGGACAGCAGGUCUAGAAAUGAAACUAGGACACGUCCAGACCUCAGGUGGAAUUAACUAGAAUCUGGUUAGAGAGCCAGAAAGAACAAAGAGAAAAAAUACCUCCCAAGUUCCCACCUGGCUGCCCAGGAGGCUGUAAUGUGCUUAACAAAUAAAGCAUGCCCUUUAACAAACACAGGAGUGGGGAGGUGUCUGCAGGGAGGCCUACAGACAAAACGUGGAACGAGGCUGCCCUCUUCUGGAGAAUAAAAGCCGGAAGCUGAAUCAAAGUCCUCAUCUGCCCAGGACAAUAUAUUAUUACUAUUAUUAUUAUUAUUUUCAGAGACAGGGUCUUGCUGUGUUGCCCAGGCUGGCGUGCAAUGAUGAAAUCAUAGCUCACUGUAACAUCGAUCUCCUGGGCUCAAGCGAUCCUCCUGCCUCAGCCUCCUGAGUAGUUGGGACUACAUGUGUGUGCCACUGCACCCAGCUAUUUUGUUUGUUUGUAGAGAGGAGGUCUCACUAGGUCACCUAGGCUGGUCUCAAACUCCUGGCUUCAAGCGAUGCUCCCAACUUGGCCUUCCAAAGUGCUGGGAUUACAGGUGUAAGCCAUCACACCCGGCCAUCAGCACGUUUAACUAUAUAUCCUUUUAUAUAUUUAAAUGUAUAUCUUAUAUAUAUAUGUAUACCUCCAUACAGGACCGACUGAUGCUGAGCUGAUACUAACUAGUCAAGUAACAAACAACUGGUAACUAACAACUUGGUAACCAGUUUCUGAGACUUAGGGAUCUGGAAGUGACUUAGCGGGGGUUUCUGACUCGGGGUCUCCCAAGAUGUUGGCUGGGGCUGCAGUCAUCUGAAGGCUUGACUGGGCCUGGAAGAUCCACUCUUCAAAAGGGUCACUCACAUGGCUGUGGGCUGGAGGCCUACUCACAGCUGUCCCCAGAGCAGAUCAUCCAAGAGAAAGAGUAAGCCGGAAGACACCAUCACUUUUAUGUCCUACUCUGUGACAUCACACACAAUCACUUCUACAUUCUAUCACUACAAACGAGUCACUAAGACCAGCCCAAAUUGAGGUGGAGGGGAAUUAGGUACCAUCUUUUGAAAGGAAUGUUAAAUAAUCUGUGGACGUAUUUUAAAUCAUCACAGUCCACCACCUGGCCACAAAUUAUUUCUAUUUCUCCCACAUGUGAAAUACUCUCAUUCCU